GAAUGAAGAAGGCCUUAGGUUUCCGUAAAGUUCUUUUGUCAGGGAAGAAAAGGCUUGUGCUAAUAUCACAAGCUGCUGACGGUACCUGAAGAAUAAGCACCGGCUAACUACGUGCCAGCAGCCGCGGUAAUACGUAGGGUGCAAGCGUUAAUCGGAAUUACUGGGCGUAAAGCGUGCGCAGGCGGAUAUGUAAGUUAGGAGUGAAAUCCCCGGGCUCAACCUGGGAAUGGCUUUUAAGACUGCGUAUCUAGAGUUUGUCAGAGGGGGGUGGAAUUCCAAGUGUAGCAGUGAAAUGCGUAGAGAUUUGGAGGAACACCAAUGGCGAAGGCAACCCCCUGGGAUAAAACUGACGCUCAUGCACGAAAGCGUGGGUAGCAAACAGGAUUAGAUACCCUGGUAGUCCACGCCCUAAACGAUGUCUACUUGCUGUUGGGGGCAACCUUAGUAGCGAAGCUAACGCGAGAAGUAGACCGCCUGGGGAGUACGGUCGCAAGAUUAAAACUCAAAGGAAUUGACGGAAU
Molecule: ribosomal RNA, 521 nt
Filed under: uncultured bacterium
Lineage: Bacteria
Description: bacterial SSU rRNA
Rfam family: Bacterial small subunit ribosomal RNA
Source: RNAcentral